CUGAGCUCCUCAGGUGCACCUCGUGCUGCUGUCCUGGGGCCAUCUCCCAACUCCUCCCAACCCCUCAUAGCCCUGCUCUGGAGCAGGUAAAUAUUCCUCACGCCAGCAGGUGAGGAGGCUGGGGCCAGAUGACAGCUAGUGAGGGAGCAGAGACAAGACAAGGCGAGCCUGUGACAGAGCGAGACCCUGUCUCAAAAAACAAAAACAAGACAUGUGAGCUUGGACUCCAGUGUGGAAUCCCAUGUCCGCUCAGUGCACCUUUCUGCCGCUGAAAGUACAAGAGGAGAGGGGAAACCCACAGGUGGAGCUGACCAUGAGGACUGUCACAGGGAACUCUUUGAAUAAGAGGACACCAGAUCAUGCCUGCAGUUCCAGCCCAGGAGCAACUAGCACCAGCCUCAGCAUGGAGCAGGACUUCAGUUCCAGCAGCGAGGACUGAGAUCAGACACAAGAGAAAGCUCCCUGAUGAGGAGGGGUGAUUCUAAAACGAAGGGCGGAAAUUAUCUGGGGAAUUUCCUUCCCGUGAAGCCUCAGGAACAUGCCAGUCCCCCACUUCGGUCUGUCCUGGGGGGUCUCACGCCCCUGUCCUCCUAGAGAAAUCUAGAUCCUCCAAACUCUGCCUGGGUUCUUCCUGGGGAGUCUUGACCCCUGCCUUGUGGUUGAUGUGGGAUAGGGGACCCGGGAACAGGGCUGCCUUCCUCUGGCCAAGGCCUGGCAAGCAAGUGUGGGAUGGGUGCUGUCUUCCUGAGAGGGACAAUAGAAGUGACAGAGCCCCCUAAUUCAAGACCCUGCAGAGGUGGUGUGAGAUCUUAUAAUAUCAGUCUCUAAGCCAGUGCCUCUCAAGCUCUCUUUGGUGAAGAAUCAAUUUUUAAAAUAUAUAAUCAGUCACAGAUCAAUGCUUUUGUAAAAUGCAAUAAAAGUUAAUUUCCAAAAAAAUCACAUACUUGGGUACCAUGGUAAUGUCAAUGUAAAAUUGCUGUAAAAUUGUUCUAAGUGCUUACUCUCAAUGUCUGUGCUCAGCUUAUCAGCAACCAGUAACAGUUUGUACCACUGGUUUGUACCACGACAACCAUGCUACACUUGGAGCUGACACUUUCAUAAAGGUUAAUUUCCCUCUUUUCCUUCCUGAAGUUUGACCUCUUCCUUGAUUAGAUAGGAGGAGGGAUUCCGACAGCCCCUCACCAUCUGUUUAGAACCUCUCCCCCCAUUGCAGGUCCUUCCUGGUCAUCUAACACCAUAUGCCAUAUGGAACAGUCCUGAUUAUACAUAUUCUGUCUCAUGGGCAAUGUGUUCUGAUUUGGGUCUUUUUUUUUUUUUUUUUUUUUUUUGAGACAGAUACUCUGUCACUCAGGUUGGAGUGCAAUGGCAUGAUCAUAGCUCACACUGCAGCCUCCAACUCCUGGGCUCAAGCGAUCCUCCUGCCUCAACCUCCCUUGUAGCUAGGACUACAGGUGUGAGUCAUCACCAUAGCUGAUUUUUUUUUACUUUUGUUAUUUGUAGAGAUGAGGACUCACUGUGUUGCCCAGGCUGGUCUUGAACUCCUGACCUCAAGCAAUCCUCCCACCUCAGCCUCCCGAAGUGCUGGGAUGAGCCACCCAUUCACACAGGCAUGAGGCACUGCACCUAGCUUGAUUUUUUUUUCUAUUGACUGCCCUACAGUAGAUGUGUUCGUGAAAACGUGAGCAUAGAUUCUGUAUUUGAUGCAAAAAAGAAUGAGGAGAACUGGGUCCCAAGGCAGGCAAGCCCUUCCUGGGAUGGUUAUAGGAACCAAAAGUGUCCUGCUGAGUGGGACACAGUGCAAAGGCUUCUGCCUGGAAUUAUAACAACUGCAGUUACAAUUUUUUUUGAGCACCUAAGAUAUGCCAGACCCUGAGCUUCACAAGCCGUAUCUCUAUCUUUCCCAGCAAUUUUGCAAAAUAGAUAUGAUUUGUCUAAUUUAAAAUGAGCUAUAUCAACUCCAUGUGGCUAUGCAGGUGCUAUGCAGCCUAGAAGGCUUUAAAACGGCAUCUUCCAAAUGCUGGUCUGGGAGCAGCUUCACAGCAUCCUGAGGAGCUUUUUAAAAAUGCAGACACCCAGCCCCACAUCCUCGAUUUUUAUUCGAAGCCUGUGAGCCUUCCCCAGGCCCCCCAGGUGACUCCGAAUCCUGGCUGGCUCUGGCACUGCGGUUCUGGGCUGCUAAGGGCUGGGGUCUUGUGGGCUGAGGGGGAACCAUAGGAAAAGUCCAGGAAAAGCCACAAUGGGAAGGGUGCCUGGGAGGGAACUUCAGUAAACUAUAAUACAGCCAUAUGGCAGCAUACUAUACAGCCCUUAAAAAUGAAGAAUUUGGCUGGGCAAAGUGGCUCAUGGCUAUAAUCCCAACACUUUGGGAGGUCAAGGCAGGUGGAUCACCUGAGGUCAGGAGAUCAAGACCAGCCUGACUGACAUGGUGAAAUCCCAUCUCUACUAAAAAUGCAAAAAUUAGCCAGGCGUGGUGGGACACACCAGUAGUCCUAGAUACUCAGGAGGCUGAGGCAGGAAAAUCGCUUGAACCCGGGAGGCAGAGGUUGCAGUGAGCUGAGAUCCCGCCACUGCACUCCAGCCUAGGUGACAGAGCAAGACUCCGUCUCAAAAAAAAAGAAUUUGUGAUAACAUUAGAACAGACAUUAAGGGAACAAGACAGGUAAUAAAUUGCGUAUAUAGUUUUGCCACAGCUGUAUAACAAAUGCAAAAGUGCAUGUUUUUUUAAAAAAAAGACUGGAAGGAAAAACAAAAUGUUUUAUUGGUUAUCUCCACAUGAAGAUUCUAUGUGAUUUUACCUUCCUCUGUACACUUUUCUCCCUAGGGAGCGUGUUACCUUUCUAAAUAGAAAAGCGUAAGUGUGUUUUUGAAAGAGAAAAGUCUGUCAUCCUCUGUCACCCCAGCCAGCAGAAGUCAACUUUCACAUUCUGGAGUUAGGCAGAAAUUGCUGGGGUUUUUGUUUUCUUCUUCCCUCUGAGGGCAGGAAAUAACUCUUUCCCACUGGGUUUCCUGCUGGAGUUGGAGGCCCAGAAAAAUUCUGGCUGAAGACUGGAGGCAGGUAUAAACAUGCCAGGCUUGCAAGGUCCUCUGUGAGUGGCUCUUGGGUAUCUCUGCGUCCCUCUCUCUCCAGCACCUGCUCUGGGAGCUGUUUCUGGAAAGCACCAUCACCACUUUUGCAAGGCCGUCCUCUCUACCUGGAAGGCUCUUCCCUGCUCCUCUCUUGCUUAACUAACAUCCUUCGGCCAUUGUCUUAGGUGUCCAUGUUCUAAGGCCCAUCUUCCCUGACCCCCAGUACUGAGUCAGGACCCCCAAGAGCUCCCAGAACACCCUGUUCUCCCUGAUUUGAUUGUCAUCAUGGGUUACUUCUAAGGCUCCCCAAGGGUUGGGACUCUAUAUCCGGUGCAUUAUCAAAGCCUGGUACACAGCAGGCACUCAAUAAAUGUUUACUGAAUGAAUGAAGAAAUCCUGCCUUGAGAUCCAAGGUACCAAAGGAGCUCUGAGAGAGGCAGGUGUCAUCCCAAGGAGCUCUGGUACCUGCCUCUCUCAGAGCUCCUUGGAGGAAAGGGUCCAGGUAGUUCUUUCUGCAUAAAGCUGUUAUGGCUGGUGCCAUGUGAUUCAAAAACCACCUCCACCACCUGCUCCAAGGGAUUAGACCGGAGAUAGGAAGGCAAGCAGACAGCGGGCAGGAGGGGGCUGGCCUCCUCUUCAAUGGCUUGCUCAGAAACUCUGCCCCAUGCAGGGACUCUGUCUAGGGUGGUGGCUAACUGGC
This 3766-nucleotide long non-coding RNA is filed under the name Homo sapiens (human). RNAcentral describes it as "PREDICTED lncRNA (TCONS_00147843)". Lineage: Eukaryota; Metazoa; Chordata; Mammalia; Primates; Hominidae. The record is from RNAcentral.